UUUCCGUAGGUGAACCUGCGGAAGGAUCAUUAUCGUACAACGGGGGUGCGAGGGCUGUCGCUGACCCUUCGAAAGGUCGUGCACGCUCGAGCACUCUCAUAAAUCCAUCUCACCCCUUUGUGCAUCACCGCGUGGGUUCCCUUUGCAGGGGGGCCCACGUUUUCGCACAAAACUUGAUACAGCGUAGAAUGUCAUUUUUGCGGUCACACGCAAUCAAUACAACUUUCAACAACGGAUCUCUUGGCUCUC
RNAcentral lists this unclassified non-coding RNA (249 nucleotides) under plant metagenome. RNAcentral describes it as "partial contains small subunit ribosomal RNA, internal transcribed spacer 1, and 5.8S ribosomal RNA". The record is from RNAcentral.